UACGUAGGUGACAAGCGUUAUCCGGAAUUAUUGGGCGUAAAGGGCUCGUAGGCGGUUUGUCGCGUCGGGAGUGAAAUCCACUGGCUUAACUGGUGGCUUGCUUUCGAUACGGGCAGACUGGAGGUAUGCAGGGGAGAACGGAAUUCCUGGUGUAGCGGUGAAAUGCGCAGAUAUCAGGAGGAACACCGGUGGCGAAGGCGGUUCUCUGGGCAUGUCCUGACGCUGAGGAGCGAAAGUGUGGGGAGCGAACAGG
This 253-nucleotide ribosomal RNA is filed under the name uncultured bacterium. Its description in RNAcentral is "partial 16S ribosomal RNA". It matches the Rfam family "Bacterial small subunit ribosomal RNA", at positions 524 to 776 of the family's 1533-position model. The record is from RNAcentral.